Molecule: unclassified non-coding RNA, 418 nt
Filed under: soil metagenome
Description: partial contains 5.8S ribosomal RNA, internal transcribed spacer 2, and large subunit ribosomal RNA
Rfam family: 5.8S ribosomal RNA (bases 1-120)
Source: RNAcentral
GAUGAAGAACGUAGCGAAAUGCGAUAAGUAAUGUGAAUUGCAGAAUUCAGUGAAUCAUCGAAUCUUUGAACGCAUCUUGCGCUCCUUGGAAUUCCUUGGAGCAUGCCUGUUUGAGUAUCAUGAGCAAACCUCAAAGUCAAUUCCUUUUGUUAAUUCAAUUGGUUUUGCUUUGGACUUGGAGGUCUUGCAGAUUUCACAGUCUGCUCCUCUUAAAUGCAUUAGCUGGAUCUCAGUAAUUAUGCUUGGUUCCACUCGGCGUGAUAAGUAUCACUCGCUGAGGACACUGUUAAAAAGGUGGCCAGGAAAAUACUGAUUGAACCGCUUCUAACGGUCUAUUAAGUUAGACAAUUACCCUUAAGUUUGAUCUCAAAUCAGGUAGGACUACCCGCUGAACUUAAGCAUAUCAAUAAGCGGAGGA